This 597-nucleotide small RNA is filed under the name Pongo abelii (Sumatran orangutan). RNAcentral's name for it is "processed transcript". The record is from RNAcentral. Lineage: Eukaryota; Metazoa; Chordata; Mammalia; Primates; Hominidae.
GAAAGAGACUGGGUGAAUCCAAGUUAGUUACGGAUGACAUAAAAGAUACAAUCAACUUUGAUGAUCCAAUUAUCCACACUACAGCUAUCUGACCAACACGUUUCUGUUUCUCUUUAGACCACUCUCAUCUCCAGGAACCAGCUCUCUGUGGGCCACACAUGAUGUUUGACGAAGAUCGUUGCGAGUGUGUCUGUAAAACACCAUGUCCCAAAGAUCUAAUCCAGCACCCCAAAAACUGCAGUUGCUUUGAGUGCAAAGAAAGUCUGGAGACCUGCUGCCAGAAGCACAAGCUAUUUCACCCAGACACCUGCAGCUGUGAGGACAGAUGCCCCUUUCAUACCAGAACAUGUGCAAAUGGCAAAACAGCGUGUGCAAAGCAUUGCCGCUUUCCAAAGGAGAAAAGGGCUGCCCAGGGGCCCCACAGCCGGAAGAAUCCUUGAUUCAGUGUUCCAAGUUCCCUAUCCCUGUCAUUUUUAACAGCAUGCUGCUUUGCCAAGUUGCUGUCACUGUUUUUUUCCCAGGUGUUAAAAAAAAAUCCAUUUUACAAAGCACCACAGUGAAUCCAGACCAACCUUCCAUUCACACCAGCUGAGUCCC